GGAGCACUCACUGACUUUGAAGCUAGACUUACCAGGCUGACUCUACUUCUGGUUUUGGGAAGUUCUAAAGUGGAGUCCCAGGGGUAAUGAUCUACUGCAGCUUUGAAGCAGGCCCUUCGAAGGUCAUGACAAGCUGGUGAAGAUGACUGCAUUUCCUGCGAAGUAUCAGGAGCCUAGCAAAGACUGAUUUUGAUCAGAACGUUUUAUCACAUCAACAGAAAAGAAACGACAUAGAAAAAAAUUGUGAGAGGAACAUGAAGGAGCAAAGAUGAGAAACUUCAGAAAACUUCAGCAUCCUGCACAAACAGAGGUAGAAAGUUAUUCUCAGCUUAACAUCAAUCCAUCUCAGGUUCAGUCUCUUGGAACACAAUGUCUUCACUCACAUCAUUAUGGAUCAGCUUCUUGCAGAGUUGGAGGUGAGGCAGCAUCCAGAGUUGAAGCAGUUGUUUCCCAUUUGCAUUUCAGGUGGAUCAGCAAAAUGGGACAUCGCAGUUGAACCAAAGUCAUAAUAAAACAUUCUGAGGUACAUAAAUACUCUGUAAUAGACUAAUUCAGUUCCUCCAUGCACCAACAGAAACCUUGACUACUUCUCUUGACUACUUCAGUCAAAUCUGACAAAACCAAACCCAACUUGGAAAUGUCCAUGUAUACAAUGGACAUGCCUGUUUCCAGAGAAGACUGCCCUUCAGGAGCUGCAUGGAGCUACUUGAGUGCACUAAACACUGUCUAAAGCUGAUUAUCAAGAGAAGCAGGAUAAAAAUCAGAAGCUCAAACAUUCAAGAAUGAGUUAUACCUGACAUGUCUUAAAGGUCUAUCUUUUAAACUCAGGAAAGGUCUCUUGAAACUUUCAGAUCCUCCUUCAAUGAAUCUACUCUUAGACUACUCAAAACUGGAGUGUUAACCUCUUUUUUUCCAAGAUGACUGCCCUAGGUAGCAAAUAACCUUGUCUCAUAUUUUCAGAGUUUGUUCACUGUGCCAUUUAAAACCUCUCCCCAGUGGUCAGUGUGCGACCCAAUCCUGAAUUCAUUCAUUCUUCUAGUAAUUUUGUAAUUUAAAAUGUUUGAAUACCUUACACUAUCUUUUAUAAAUUAGAUUAUAAUAUUCAGAAGGAACACAAUGUUGAAGAACACUUAUCUAUAAAUCUAUAGCUUUCUAAGAGUUGAUAAUCUUUUACU
Molecule: long non-coding RNA, 1175 nt
Organism: Mus caroli (Ryukyu mouse)
Lineage: Eukaryota; Metazoa; Chordata; Mammalia; Rodentia; Muridae
Source: RefSeq, a predicted model, not a curated record